GACGAACGCUGGCGGCGUGCCUAAUACAUGCAAGUAGAACGCACAGUUUAUACCGUAGCUUGCUACACCAUAGACUGUGAGUUGCGAACGGGUGAGUAACGCGUAGGUAACCUGCCUGGUAGCGUGGGAUAACUAUUGGAAACGAUAGCUAAUACCGCAUAAUAUUAAUUAUUGCAUGAUAAUUAAUUGAAAGGUGCAAUUGCACCACUACCAGAUGGACCUGCGUUGUAUUAGCUAGUAGGUGAGGUAACGGCUCACCUAGGCGACGAUACAUAGCCGACCGGAGAGGGUGGUCGGCCACACUGGGACGGAGACCAGGCCCAGACUCCUACGGGAGGCAGCAGUAGGGAAUCUUCGGCAAUGGACGAAAGUCUGACCGAGCAACGCCGAGGGAGUGAAGAAGGUUUUCGGAUCGUAAAGCUCUGUUGUAAGAGAAGAACGGGUGUGAGAGUGGAAAGUUCACACUGUGACGGUAUCUUACCAGAAAGGGACGGCUAACUACGUG
RNAcentral lists this ribosomal RNA (505 nucleotides) under uncultured bacterium. RNAcentral describes it as "partial 16S ribosomal RNA". It matches the Rfam family "Bacterial small subunit ribosomal RNA", at positions 28 to 507 of the family's 1533-position model. The record is from RNAcentral.